This is a long non-coding RNA of Impatiens glandulifera, 443 nucleotides long. RefSeq lists it as uncharacterized. The record is from RefSeq and is a predicted model, not a curated record. The transcript has 2 exons. Lineage: Eukaryota; Viridiplantae; Streptophyta; Magnoliopsida; Ericales; Balsaminaceae.
AACUAACAACAAUCCAUUUCAUCAUUUUCUUUCCAAUCUCUCUCUAUCUCUUUGUCUCUCCAUACCAGUAAACAUAUAAAACGCAGACAGAGAAGCAAAGUAAUUAAAGGAUGCUGGCUCGGGCGGGUCUGGGAAAGCUAGUGGAGAGUCUGAAAAUGAGGCUGAUUAAGUCACUGAAGACGAAGAAGAAUUAUGAUAAGAUAGAGAAGAGCGACAGCAUGAGAGUGGAAAUCAAAAGCAAGAAGGCCCAAAAGCUGAUUCAGGCGACCAUGAAGAUAGCUGACUCUCCUAAGACCAGAACUUAUACCAUGUAAUAGUUAAGGCCUUCUAAAAUAUCUCUCCUUUUCAAUAACUAAAGCACAGACAUAAAUGAAUCCAUCAUCUUCUUCAUCUCGAUACUAGAUGUGUUAGAUGUCAGAAUUUACUACUAGCACUUAUCUAUC